GAGUUUGAUCCUGGCUCAGGAUGAACGCUGGCGGCGUGCUUAACACAUGCAAGUCGAACGGGAAACUUUUCAUUGAAGCUUCGGCAGAUUUGGUCUGUUUCUAGUGGCGGACGGGUGAGUAACGCGUGGGUAACCUGCCUUAUACAGGGGGAUAACAGUUAGAAAUGACUGCUAAUACCGCAUAAGACCACGGCACCGCAUGGUGCAGGGGUAAAAACUCCGGUGGUAUGAGAUGGACCCGCGUCUGAUUAGGUAGUUGGUGGGGUAACGGCCUACCAAGCCGACGAUCAGUAGCCGACCUGAGAGGGUGACCGGCCACAUUGGGACUGAGACACGGCCCAAACUCCUACGGGAGGCAGCAGUGGGGAAUAUUGCACAAUGGGGGAAACCCUGAUGCAGCGACGCCGCGUGAGCGAUGAAGUAUUUCGGUAUGUAAAGCUCUAUCAGCAGGGAAGAAAAUGACGGUACCUGACUAAGAAGCCCCGGCUAACUACGUGCCAGCCGCCGCGGUAAUAC
This 516-nucleotide ribosomal RNA is filed under the name uncultured bacterium. Its description in RNAcentral is "bacterial SSU rRNA". It matches the Rfam family "Bacterial small subunit ribosomal RNA", at positions 9 to 526 of the family's 1533-position model. The record is from RNAcentral.